GGGUAUUGUUAAUUUAUUUUUUUUCUUGUUUAUUUUUUUGUUAGAUUAUAAAUGGGUGAUAAGAAUAAUACAUCUGGAUCUUCUGCUAGUAGUAGAAGAACGGACCCAGGAUGGGCACAUGUAAUUCAAGUUAGUGAAAACAAUNGAUCUUCAAUGCAUGUACUGUAUGAAAGUUUAUAAAGGAGGAAUUAAUAGAAUCAAGCAACAUCUUGCUGGAGGUUACAAAAAUGUAAUUCGGUGUCCAAAAUGUCCAGAAGAUGUAAGGAAUCAAAUGAAGGAAUUCAUUGCUAAAAAAAAGAGAGCAAAAAUCAAUUAUGAAUAUGGAAAGACCACCUGAAUUUGAUGAUGUUGAAGCACUGGGAUUAGAUGAAAAUGAGGAAGAGGAAGAGUUGAUGCAAGAAAUUGGCAGUGAAAGAAGAAGGCAAGUACUGGAAGUUACAGGUACUAGUGCUUUUAAAAAAUCAAAAGUUGUACCACCACAAAGUAGUAGAGGGCCUAUUGACUGUUAUUUUUCCCCUAGACCUGCUGUUUUGGGAAAAAAUAUGAGGCAAACUACCAUUGAUGAAAAUAGUCCAGCUAAAAAGGAGUUAAGGGAGCGUGCUUGUGUUGCCAUAGCACGAUGGAUGUAUGAUGUGGGAAUAGCUUUUAAUGCUGUGAAUUAUGAUAGCUUUGGGGAAAUGAUUCGAGCAAUUGGAAAUUAUGGGAAAGAAAUGAAACCUCCAAGUUUUCAUGAGGUUAGAGUUCGAUUACUUAACAAAGAAGUGCAAAUCAUAAAUGAUCUUCUCGAGUCUCAUAAAGAAGAAUGGGAAAAUUAUGGAUGUACAUUGAUGUGUGAUGGAUGGACGGAUAGAAAAGGGAGAACCUUGAUUAAUUUCUUGGCUAAUAGUC
Molecule: unclassified non-coding RNA, 888 nt
Filed under: Hevea brasiliensis (rubber tree)
Lineage: Eukaryota; Viridiplantae; Streptophyta; Magnoliopsida; Malpighiales; Euphorbiaceae
Source: RNAcentral